Molecule: ribosomal RNA, 278 nt
Filed under: uncultured bacterium
Lineage: Bacteria
Description: partial 16S ribosomal RNA
Rfam family: Bacterial small subunit ribosomal RNA
Source: RNAcentral
CUUCUCCGCCGGCGACCGGCGCACGGGUGAGUAACACGUAUGCAACCUAGCCCCUCGUCAGGGGGGACAACCCGCCGAAAGGCGGGCUAAACCCGCGUACAUGCCACCGGGGCAUCCCGGAGGCAGGAAAGGCUUCGGCCGGACAGGGAUGGGCAUGCGGCGCAUUAGGCAGUAGGCGGGGUAACGGCCCACCUAACCGACGAUGCGUAGGGGUUCUGAGAGGAAGGUCCCCCACACUGGUACUGAGACACGGACCAGACUCCUACGGAAGGCAGCAG